GGCUGCUUGGGGUGGCUAGGCCUGCGGGCAGCCUUGCUCCUUGCAGUGUGGGGAAAGAGGGCUGAUGCAGUUCCUGCUUAGGGGCAGGUGACUCCUCGCCUGGGCGCCCAGGCUCCGGCUUCAGAGCCGCCUGUCCACCCAUCAGCAGGGGCAGGUGAGGGCGCAGCCCCAAAGGGCUCUCCAGAGCCUUGCUCAGGGGCUGAUGAGAUGGCUGGACGGAUGGCCCACAAGGAGUUGCAGAUGGCCAUGGUUCAUCAGGGCAGCCUUGCCAGCCAGGUGGGCCUGCAGCCUCCCCAGAGCUGGCCCCCUGCCAAGCCUUGGGAUAGUUCUUGCCAUUGACCUUGGGCCACUUUGGCCUCGGGGCCUUGGGUGCUGGGGGCUCAGUGGAGCGCCCAUCUACUUCUGCAUGGGCACGAGGCAGCCGCAGGGGUAGCUCCCGCUCCUGGCUCAGUUUUAGGAAAGCAGCUGCGUUCAGGCUAGCCAGUCUCUUGGGAGCUGGGUCUCCAUCUCGGCGGGGACCUUCAUCGGGUGCUGGCUCUGGAGACAGGUCCCGACUUCCUCCUCCAAGGUCCCCCAGCCGGGGCCGCUUCUUGGAGGAGGACCAGCCCCCAGUAGCACGAUCACGGUCACGGCUGCGGUGGGGAUCCCCUGCUCGACUGCGGC
Molecule: long non-coding RNA, 663 nt
Filed under: Homo sapiens (human)
Lineage: Eukaryota; Metazoa; Chordata; Mammalia; Primates; Hominidae
Description: HSALNT0219024
Source: RNAcentral